UACGUAGGGGGCAAGCGUUGUCCGGAUUUAUUGGGCGUAAAGGGCUCGUAGGCGGCCAACUAAGUCAGACGUGAAAUCCCUCAGCUUAACUGGGGAACUGCGUCUGAUACUGGAUGGCUUGGAUCCGGGAGAGGGAUGCGGAAUUCCAGGUGUAGCGGUGAAAUGCGUAGAUAUCUGGAGGAACACCGGUGGCGAAGGCGGCAUCCUGGACCGGUAUUGACGCUGAGAUACGAAAGCGUGGGGAGCAAACAGG
RNAcentral lists this ribosomal RNA (253 nucleotides) under uncultured bacterium. Its description in RNAcentral is "partial 16S ribosomal RNA". It matches the Rfam family "Bacterial small subunit ribosomal RNA", at positions 524 to 776 of the family's 1533-position model. The record is from RNAcentral.